AGAGCUGAGUUUCCAAACACUGUGCCAGGAGCUGGAUGAAGAGGAGCUGAGGAAAGUCAUGCCUCACCCAGUGACACCAGCAGGCCCCUGCCUGGCCUGUGGUGACAGAGACUGAUGAGGAAUACACUGAUCAGGGUCAAUGUCAGGGCUGGGGCAGUCAUAAACCCAGGGUCCAACCCCCAGCCCCAGACCCUGCCCUCUACGUCCUUGAAGCUCCAUCCCUGUGUUAAACUUGGCUCUGCCCAUGACUAACUCCUCCCAGGCCACCUCCCAGUUUUCUCACCUGGAACAUGAGUGAAUCUUCUCGGUUCAUUCCCUGGCGGAAGAAGAGCAGUUCCAGCCCUCGAAUCCUUCAGAAUGUCUACUCAGCACUCCCUGGGCCACAAAGGACACGUGCCCUGGCUUCAUCUCUUCCGAGGCUGACUCUAAUGGAAAGAAAUCCUGCCGUCUCAGAGAGGUGUCCCAGCGCAAUGCAGGCAGAGGCUCUGGUGUCAGGAGCCCUGGGGCCCGUAUCAGGCUUGCUAGUCAUCAGUGUGUGCCUUGAGUGGUUUGCCUUUUUGGAGCCCAGGAUUUUUCAGGUGUAAAAAUGGGGAUAACACAUUGCCCCUCUUCCUGGAUGGUUCUGAGGAUGAAAUAAAGCCACCUGUGCAAAGUAUUGGACCCAU
Molecule: non-coding RNA, 665 nt
Organism: Ictidomys tridecemlineatus (thirteen-lined ground squirrel)
Lineage: Eukaryota; Metazoa; Chordata; Mammalia; Rodentia; Sciuridae
Source: RefSeq, a predicted model, not a curated record